This 465-nucleotide ribosomal RNA is filed under the name uncultured bacterium. RNAcentral's name for it is "partial 16S ribosomal RNA". It matches the Rfam family "Bacterial small subunit ribosomal RNA", at positions 28 to 507 of the family's 1533-position model. The record is from RNAcentral.
GACGAACGCUGGCGGCGUGCUUAACACAUGCAAGUCGAACGGAAAGGCCCUGCUUGCAGGGUACUCGAGUGGCGAACGGGUGAGUAACACGUGGGUGAUCUGCCCUGCACUUCGGGAUAAGCCUGGGAAACUGGGUCUAAUACCGGAUAUGACCUUCCAUGUAGUGUGGGGGGUGGAAAGAUUUAUCGGUGUGGGAUGAGCCCGCGGCCUAUCAGCUUGUUGGUGGGGUAAUGGCCUACCAAGGCGUCGACGGGUAGCCGGCCUGAGAGGGUGGACGGCCACAUUGGGACUGAGAUACGGCCCAGACUCCUACGGGAGGCAGCAGUGGGGAAUAUUGCACAAUGGGCGGAAGCCUUAUGCAGCGACGCCGCGUGGGGGAUGACGGCCUUCGGGUUGUAAACCUCUCUCGACAGGGACGAAGCUUCGGUGACGGUACCUGUAUAAGAAGCACCGGCUAACUACGUG